Molecule: long non-coding RNA, 1646 nt
Organism: Neogale vison (American mink)
Lineage: Eukaryota; Metazoa; Chordata; Mammalia; Carnivora; Mustelidae
Exons: 2
Source: RefSeq, a predicted model, not a curated record
GGCAGAAAGCCUCGGGCGGGCCCAACGCCUUAAAGGGACGGCUUGCGGAGCGCUUUCCUCUGCAGAGCGGUAACCUCUGCGUGGGCGGGCGUCGGUCCCUGUCGCGCACUUUCUAAAAACGGAAGUCUGUGACACCUCGGGGAAGUGCCGGUGCGCCCCUCGAGAGCUCCCCGCCCCGCUCGGCCUGCGGCGGCGCCCCAGGGAGCAGCCGGGCUCGCCCCUGGGAGUCGACGGGCGGCAGGUCCCUGGCGCUCCUGGUGGGACCCUCGCUCCGGGGCCGCCGCUCCCCUUCCCCGGGCGCACGCAGCUGCCGGCGGCGGUCCGCGCGGGCUCGACCCCCACGCAGGCCUGGCACCUCGGCCGGCCCGGACCCGGGGCGCGCCCCUCCCGGAAGCGGGGACCCUGAGCCGCAGGCUUGUGCGGCCCCCGCAGGGCUGGCUGCCCCCCCCCGCAGGGCCACUCCCCCUCACGUAGGGCCGACUCCCCCCCACGCGGGGCCGGCUGCCCACCCCCGCCCGACUGUCCCCCUCCCCCCCGCAGAGAGCCUGGUCUGGGACCGGCCGCUCUGCGGUCACCCAGGCGGGUCGCCGACGUGUGUCCCCGCCAGUCCAGGGCAAGACGGGACCCCGAAGGCGCCCCAGGAGCCCCGCGCACGGAAGGACGCCCUCGACGGGCAAUGCCCAGGGAGCAGGGCGCGUGGUUGUCCCGGACACGGGAGCUGAGGGCAGCCCAAGGAGGAUGCCGGGCCCGCUCUCUGGCCCUGGCCCAGCUCCGUGUGGAUCUCCGUGCCUCGGAGCCUCGCCACCCCGGGCCGCCGAUCUUACGGCGGUUAACGAAACCAGCCUGGGGUGAAGGACACGUCCCUCUACCUGGCCACCUGGGCCAGCAUCGGAGCCCACCGUGUCUCCCCUCCAUCAACUCCGGGGGGCUCAGCCAUCCAUUUCUCUCCAUCCUGGCCCCAGGUUUUGUCUCCCAAGGGGUCUUUUCCAAACCUUCCGGAAGCUCAGUCAGAAUAAAACCCCCAGUGCUGGAUCUGUCACCUCCCCCGCCCCAUAGAAGACUCAGAGCCAGCUCCCAUUGCUCUCAAGUCCAAAUCCAGCGUCUGCUGGCGGAGUUUACCAGACUCCCCCCUCUAGCCUAGCAACACCCCCGAUGUGCGCACCCCAGAUCGCGGCCCCAAAUCAAAAAUACCUCCAACCCUCCAGGCAGAGCUGGAUAAGGUUUGGUACCCAGAACUCAGAACUCAGACCCGGUUCUAAGACCCGGGAGUAAACUGGUCUCCCUCCUCUCUCCCCAGGAGACAUCCUUCCUGUGAAAAUGAGGAAGCCCCGUUAAGUGCUGUUGCAACCCAUCCUGGCGGCCAUACCUAAAACACAACCCAAGAACACAGCAGAUAAAGCAAUGUAGCAAAAGCAGGUGAUUUGCUUUAUUGGCGAAGUCUUAAAUCCUUUUAUAUCCCUUCUGAGAUGUGGUCAGCUCAGAAAAAUCGCAGUUAGAAAUGGAAGAGAGGAUGAAAACUACGGAGAGGGGGAGAACGUUUUGGAGAACGUUUUUUCCAGAACAUUAACUGUGCUUUGGCCAACAGGAGCUAGUUGGUAAAUGAACCUGUUUCCAUGAGCAGUUUUUAUAAAGACAAUGUUUCUCAA